Long non-coding RNA from Corapipo altera (White-ruffed manakin), 768 nucleotides. RefSeq lists it as uncharacterized. NCBI's taxonomy places the organism in Eukaryota, Metazoa, Chordata, Aves, Passeriformes, Pipridae. The transcript has 7 exons. The record is from RefSeq and is a predicted model, not a curated record.
GUCACAGCCGGUCGGAGCCCCAUCCGCCGGUGAUGUAAAGCCGGGGAUGUUGAGCAGCCCCCGCUGACAGAGCCAUCCCAUUCCGCAGCCUGGCUGUAAGCCCUCCAUAUGGCCAUGUGAUUGCUGCUGCUGCUGCUUCACGUGAUCCAGCUUUCUGGCACAAAGGCUCGGAGCUCGUACAGAUGAUUGUUAAACAUCAUGAGACUCUGCAAGUGAAUCUCUUGAAGAAAAGCUUGAAAGCCUGGAUGCUGAAGAUCUCAUGUCUCAUCUGUCACAACCAGAAACCUACCUAGAUGAGGAGAAAAGAUCAAGGAAGUAAAACUGACCAAACUACGGGACUGACAAGGUUAAGCAUUGUGUUGCUCUAGGGGAAGGAAGGUGUUAGAGAUACUGCGGAGCCUCAGACAGGAAGGCUAGGCAGCUCUUUAACCAGCAGAUUUCAGAUUUUUACAUACUGGCUGGAAAGGAUCUGAGAUUCUACCAGGUAUGCCACCAGCUUGGCAGCACAGGAGAAGAAAUGGUUAUGGGCUCUGCUCCUAAGGAAGAGACUACUUCAUUUGGAAAUGCUGUAGGUUAGUGCUUCAUUCUGCAAUUUACAGCCAAUGACUGAGCAGAAAGCUUUUAUAUCCCAAGAAGCUUUAAAAUAAAGCAGUUUCAGUUGUAUCAGGUUCCCACUCAAGUUCAUGUGACAGUACUUAGGCUGCCUGUCUUGGUGACAGUAUGAAUUUAUACAGAGACAGAAGCAAUCAGAUCAUAUAGUUUUCAAGA